GACGAACGCUGGCGGCGUGCUUAACACAUGCAAGUCGAACGGAAAGGCCCUGCUUUUGUGGGGUGCUCGAGUGGCGAACGGGUGAGUAACACGUGAGUAACCUGCCCUUGACUUUGGGAUAACUUCAGGAAACUGGGGCUAAUACCGGAUAGGAGCUCCUGCUGCAUGGUGGGGGUUGGAAAGUUUCGGCGGUUGGGGAUGGACUCGCGGCUUAUCAGCUUGUUGGUGGGGUAGUGGCUUACCAAGGCUUUGACGGGUAGCCGGCCUGAGAGGGUGACCGGCCACAUUGGGACUGAGAGACGGCCCAGACUCGUACGGGAGGCAGCAGUGGGGAAUAUUGCACAAUGGGCGGAAGCCUGAUGCAGAAACGCCGCGUGCGGGAUGACGGCCUUCGGGUUGUAAACCGCUUUCGCCGGUGACGAAGCGUGAGUGACGGUAAUGGGUAAAGAAGCACCGGCUAACUACGUG
This 468-nucleotide ribosomal RNA is filed under the name uncultured bacterium. RNAcentral describes it as "partial 16S ribosomal RNA". It matches the Rfam family "Bacterial small subunit ribosomal RNA", at positions 28 to 507 of the family's 1533-position model. The record is from RNAcentral.